UGUAGUAAUACAGAUUGAUGGCGACCGGCGCACGGGUGAGUAACGCGUAUGCAACUUACCUAUCAGAGGGGGAUAGCCCGGCGAAAGUCGGAUUAAUACCCCAUAAAACAGGGGUCCCGCAUGGGAAUAUUUGUUAAAGAUUCAUCGCUGAUAGAUAGGCAUGCGUUCCAUUAGGCAGUUGGCGGGGUAACGGCCCACCAAACCGACGAUGGAUAGGGGUUCUGAGAGGAAGGUCCCCCACAUUGGUACUGAGACACGGACCAAACUCCUACGGGAGGCAGCAGUGAGGAAUAUUGGUCAAUGGCCGAGAGGCUGAACCAGCCAAGUCGCGUGAAGGAAGAAGGAUCUAUGGUUUGUAAACUUCUUUUAUAGGGGAAUAAAGUGGAGGACGUGUCUUUUUUGUAUGUACCCUAUGAAUAAGCAUCGGCUAACUCCGUGCCAGCAGCCGCGGUAAUACGGAGGAUGCGAGCGUUAUCCGGAUUUAUUGGGUUUAAAGGGUGCGUAGGUGGUGAUUUAAGUCAGCGGUGAAAGUUUGUGGCUCAACCAUAAAAUUGCCGUUGAAACUGGGUUACUUGAGUGUGUUUGAGGUAGGCGGAAUGCGUGGUGUAGCGGUGAAAUGCAUAGAUAUCACGCAGAACUCCGAUUGCGAAGGCAGCUUACUAAACCAUAACUGACAAUGAAGCACGAAAGCGUGGGGAUCAAACAGGAUUAAAUACCCUGGUAGUCCACGCAGUAAACGAUGAUUACUAGGAGUUUGCGAUACAAUGUAAGCUCUACAGCGAAAGCGUUAAGUAAUCCACCUGGGGAGUACGCCGGCAACGGUGAAACUCAAAGGAAUUGACGGGGGCCCGCACAAGCGGAGGAACAUGUGGUUUAAUUCGAUGAUACGCGAGGAACCUUACCCGGGUUUGAACGUAGUCUGACCGGAGUGGAAACACUCUUUCUAGCAAUAGCAGAUUACGAGGUGCUGCAUGGUUGUCGUCAGCUCGUGCCGUGAGGUGUCGGCUUAAGUGCCAUAACGAGCGCAACCCUUAUCACUAGUUACUAACAGGUGAAGCUGAGGACUCUGGUGAGACUGCCAGCGUAAGCUGUGAGGAAGGUGGGGAUGACGUCAAAUCAGCACGGCCCUUACAUCCGGGGCGACACACGUGUUACAAUGGCAUGGACAAAGGGCAGCUACCUGGUGACAGGAUGCUAAUCUCCAAACCAUGUCUCAGUUCGGAUCGGAGUCUGCAACUCGACUCCGUGAAGCUGGAUUCGCUAGUAAUCGCGCAUCAGCCAUGGCGCGGUGAAUACGUUCCCGGGCCUUGCACACA
Molecule: ribosomal RNA, 1316 nt
Filed under: uncultured bacterium
Lineage: Bacteria
Description: bacterial SSU rRNA
Rfam family: Bacterial small subunit ribosomal RNA
Source: RNAcentral